UUAUAAGAGACAGCAGUAGCCGCGGUAAUACCGAGGGUGCGAGCGUUAAUCGGAUUUACUGGGCGUAAAGCGUGCGUAGGCGGCUUCUUAAGUCGGAUGUGAAAUCCCUGAGCUUAACUUAGGAAUUGCAUUCGAUACUGGGAAGCUAGAGUAUGGGAGAGGAUGGUAGAAUUCCAGGUGUAGCGGUGAAAUGCGUAGAGAUCUGGAGGAAUACCGAUGGCGAAGGCAGCCAUCUGGCCUAAUACUGACGCUGAGGUACGAAAGCAUGGGGAGCAAACAGGAUUAGAUACCCGCGUAGUCCCUGUCUCUUAUAA
This 314-nucleotide ribosomal RNA is filed under the name uncultured bacterium. RNAcentral describes it as "partial 16S ribosomal RNA". It matches the Rfam family "Bacterial small subunit ribosomal RNA", at positions 499 to 809 of the family's 1533-position model. The record is from RNAcentral.